GUCCCCCAUGGGACUGAAAGUGGCAGAGUGAACAGGCCCAGAAUGACCUUGAAAUAAUGUAUAAGACCUCUUCCCAAUUGUAUGCCCUGUCACUGGAUCACUAGUAGACACAUCAUUUUCAUCCUGCAAAACAGUAUUGCCAGCUUGUUGUCCCAGCUUUGCCAUGUCCCAUACCUUCAAAGAGGAGUCUGAAAAUCCACCAGCAACUAAA
This 211-nucleotide unclassified non-coding RNA is filed under the name Hevea brasiliensis (rubber tree). Lineage: Eukaryota; Viridiplantae; Streptophyta; Magnoliopsida; Malpighiales; Euphorbiaceae. The record is from RNAcentral.